RNAcentral lists this ribosomal RNA (577 nucleotides) under uncultured Aquicella sp. RNAcentral describes it as "bacterial SSU rRNA". It matches the Rfam family "Bacterial small subunit ribosomal RNA", at positions 102 to 681 of the family's 1533-position model. The record is from RNAcentral. Lineage: Bacteria; Pseudomonadati; Pseudomonadota; Gammaproteobacteria; Legionellales; Coxiellaceae.
ACGGGUGAGGAACACGUAGGAACCUACCUAGAAGAGGGGGAUAACCAAGGGAAACUUUGGCUAAUACCGCGUAAUCUCGGAAGAGGAAAGCUGCCGCAAGGUGGCGCUUUUAGAGGGGCCUGCGUCCGAUUAGCUAGUUGGUAGGGUAAAAGCCUACCAAGGCGAUGAUCGGUAACUGGUCUGAGAGGACGACCAGUCACACUGGGACUGAGACACGGCCCAGACUCCUACGGGAGGCAGCAGUGGGGAAUAUUGGACAAUGGGGGCAACCCUGAUCCAGCGAUGCCGCGUGGGUGAAGAAGGCCUUCGGGUUGUAAAGCCCUUUAGGUUGGGAAGAAGGGUAUUAGGGGAUAAUCCUAGUACUUUGACGGUACCGACAGAAUAAGCACCGGCAAACUCUGUGCCAGCAGCCGCGGUAAUACAGAGGGUGCAAGCGUUAAUCGGAGUUACUGGGCGUAAAGGGCGCGUAGGCGGUUAUAUGUGUGCAAUGUGAAAGCCCCGGGCUUAACCUGGGAAGUGCAAGGCAAACUGUAUAACUGGAGUAUAUGAGAGGGUGGCGGAAUUUCCGGUGUAGCGG